CCUACGGGAGGCAGCAGUGGGGAAUAUUGCGCAAUGGGCGAAAGCCUGACGCAGCGACGCCGCGUGAGGGAUGAAGGUCUUCGGAUCGUAAACCUCUGUCAGCAGGGAAGAACGGUCACUGUGCUAAUCAGCAGUGAAUUGACGGUACCUGCAAAGGAAGCACCGGCUAACUCCGUGCCAGCAGCCGCGGUAAUACGGAGGGUGCGAGCGUUAAUCGGAAUUACUGGGCGUAAAGCGCUCGUAGGCGGUAUGUCAAGUCAAGGGUGAAAUCCCCGGGCUCAACGUGGGAACUGCCUUUGAAACUGGCAAACUGGAGUGUGUGAGAGGAUAGUGGAAUGCCAGGUGUAGGAGUGAAAUGCGUAGAUAUCUGGAGGAACAUCAGUGGCGAAGGCGACUAUCUGGCACAUAACUGACGCUGAGGAGCGAAAGCGUGGGUAGCAAACAGGAUUAGAUACCCCUGUAGUC
Molecule: ribosomal RNA, 465 nt
Filed under: uncultured bacterium
Lineage: Bacteria
Description: partial 16S ribosomal RNA
Rfam family: Bacterial small subunit ribosomal RNA
Source: RNAcentral